UACGAAGGGGGCUAGCGUUGCUCGGAAUCACUGGGCGUAAAGGGCGUGUAGGCGGGACGGUAAGUCGGGCGUGAAAUCCCUAGGCUCAACCUAGGAACUGCACUCGAAACUACCAUUCUUGAGUGUCGGAGAGGAAAGCGGAAUUCCUGGUGUAGAGGUGAAAUUCGUAGAUAUCAGGAGGAACACCAGUGGCGAGGGCGGCUUUCUGGACGAUAACUGACGCUGAGACGCGAAAGCGUGCGGAGCAAACAGG
RNAcentral lists this ribosomal RNA (253 nucleotides) under uncultured bacterium. RNAcentral describes it as "partial 16S ribosomal RNA". It matches the Rfam family "Bacterial small subunit ribosomal RNA", at positions 524 to 776 of the family's 1533-position model. The record is from RNAcentral.